Molecule: long non-coding RNA, 268 nt
Filed under: Mytilus galloprovincialis (Mediterranean mussel)
Lineage: Eukaryota; Metazoa; Mollusca; Bivalvia; Mytilida; Mytilidae
Source: RNAcentral
UAUUGCACGAGCUUGCGAGUGCAAUAUAUGUUCUACGAGGGACAAUAUUCCCAAAUAUUCAUGCAAUAACCCUUUUAUUGUAUAGCAAUAUAAUAUUUGAGAGUAAAAAUUGGUUUAAACUAAGAUUUGUCUUGAUGACGUCAUGAAUUUUGAAGAUUUAUUGCACUAGUGCAAUAUUAGAAUUUAUUGCACGCUAACUUUUGGUUACGUUCUGUGGGAAAUAUUAUAUUGCUAUGCAAUAAUAGAAUUUAUUGCACGCUAACUUUUG